GAGUUGAUGCCUGAGAGGUCAAUAGGGGUGGACUGUAAAUCCAUUAUAUUUAUUUAAAAUUCAUCGGUUCAAAUCCGAUUUAACUCA
This 87-nucleotide transfer RNA is filed under the name Nephromyces sp. ex Molgula occidentalis. RNAcentral's name for it is "tRNA-Tyr". It matches the Rfam family "tRNA". Rfam says of the family: Transfer RNA (tRNA) molecules are approximately 80 nucleotides in length. The record is from RNAcentral. Lineage: Eukaryota; Apicomplexa; Aconoidasida; Nephromycida.